CCCGUACCGCAAACCGACACAGGUAGUCGAGGAGAGAAUCCUAAGGUGAGCGAGUGAACUCUCGUUAAGGAACUCGGCAAAAUGACCCCGUAACUUCGGGAGAAGGGGUGCUGAUCGCAAGAUCAGCCGCAGUGAAUAGGCCCAGGCGACUGUUUAUCAAAAACACAGGUCUCUGCAAAAUCGUAAGAUGACGUAUAGGGGCUGACGCCUGCCCGGUGCUGGAAGGUUAAAAGGAUGGGUUAGCUUCGGCGAAGCUCAGAAUUGAAGCCCCAGUAAACGGCGGCCGUAACUAUAACGGUCCUAAGGUAGCGAAAUUCCUUGUCGGGUAAGUUCCGACCCGCACGAAAGGCGUAACGAUCUGGGC
RNAcentral lists this ribosomal RNA (364 nucleotides) under Lactiplantibacillus plantarum. RNAcentral describes it as "Lactobacillus plantarum partial 23S ribosomal RNA". It matches the Rfam family "Bacterial large subunit ribosomal RNA", at positions 1641 to 2014 of the family's 2925-position model. Lineage: Bacteria; Bacillati; Bacillota; Bacilli; Lactobacillales; Lactobacillaceae. The record is from RNAcentral.